UACGUAGGGGGCUAGCGUUGUCCGGAAUCAUUGGGCGUAAAGCGCGCGUAGGCGGCCAGAUAAGUCCGGUGUGAAAGUCACAGGCUCAACCUGUGAAUGCCGCUGGAAACUGUCUGGCUAGAGUCCGGAAGGGGCGAGUGGAAUUCCUGGUGUAGCGGUGAAAUGCGCAGAUAUCAGGAGGAACACCAAUGGCGAAGGCAGCUCGCUGGAACGGUACUGACGCUGAGGCACGAAAGCGUGGGGAGCGAACAGG
This 253-nucleotide ribosomal RNA is filed under the name uncultured bacterium. RNAcentral describes it as "partial 16S ribosomal RNA". It matches the Rfam family "Bacterial small subunit ribosomal RNA", at positions 524 to 776 of the family's 1533-position model. The record is from RNAcentral.